UAAGGCUUUAUCUUAAUUAAAGUGUCUGUUUUGCAUGCAGGAGAUGUGGGGUAAUAUCCCGCAAGUCUUAUC
This 72-nucleotide transfer RNA is filed under the name Minous monodactylus (grey stingfish). RNAcentral's name for it is "tRNA-Ala". It matches the Rfam family "tRNA". Rfam says of the family: Transfer RNA (tRNA) molecules are approximately 80 nucleotides in length. Their secondary structure includes four short double-helical elements and three loops (D, anti-codon, and T loops). The record is from RNAcentral. Lineage: Eukaryota; Metazoa; Chordata; Actinopteri; Perciformes; Synanceiidae.